GCUGGGUUUAGAACGUCGUGAGACAGUUCGGUCCCUAUCUGCCGUGGGCGCUGGAGAACUGAGGGGGGCUGCUCCUAGUACGAGAGGACCGGAGUGGACGCAUCACUGGUGUUCGGGUUGUCAUGCCAAUGGCACUGCCCGGUAGCUAAAUGCGGAAGAGAUAAGUGCUGAAAGCAUCUAAGCACGAAACUUGCCCCGAGAUGAGUUCUCCCUGACUCCUUGAGAGUCCUGAAGGAACGUUGAAGACGACGACGUUGAUAGGCCGGGUGUGUAAGCGCAGCGAUGCGUUGAGCUAACCGGUACUAAUGAACCGUGAGGCUUAACCUUACAACGCCGAAGCUGUU
This 344-nucleotide ribosomal RNA is filed under the name Escherichia coli. RNAcentral describes it as "partial 23S ribosomal RNA". It matches the Rfam family "Bacterial large subunit ribosomal RNA", at positions 2604 to 2925 of the family's 2925-position model. The record is from RNAcentral. Lineage: Bacteria; Pseudomonadati; Pseudomonadota; Gammaproteobacteria; Enterobacterales; Enterobacteriaceae.